Molecule: ribosomal RNA, 253 nt
Filed under: uncultured bacterium
Lineage: Bacteria
Description: partial 16S ribosomal RNA
Rfam family: Bacterial small subunit ribosomal RNA
Source: RNAcentral
UACAGAGGGUGCAAGCGUUGCUCGGAAUUAUUGGGCGUAAAGGGUAGGUAGGUGGUCUUGUUUGUCAGAGGUGAAAGCCCUGGGCUUAACCCAGGAAGUGCCUCUGAAACGGCAAGACUCGAGUACUGGAGAGGGUCGUGGAAUUCCCGGUGUAGCGGUGAAAUGCGUAGAGAUCGGGAGGAACACCAGAGGCGAAGGCGGCGACCUGGACAGUUACUGACACUCAACUACGAAAGCGUGGGGAGCAAACAGG